Arachis ipaensis is the source of this 1202-nucleotide non-coding RNA. NCBI's taxonomy places the organism in Eukaryota, Viridiplantae, Streptophyta, Magnoliopsida, Fabales, Fabaceae. The record is from RefSeq and is a predicted model, not a curated record.
UUUCUCCCAGAACCUUCGUAUCUCUUCUCUGUCUCCCUCUCUUCUUUUCGCACUCUCUCUUCUCUCCAGUAAAGAAGACGAAGAAGCUUCCUCCACGGCGCCCUGUCACCACAGCAUUCGUUGCGCGCCUCACCCAGCCGAGGAGAACCUUGUCGUGUCAGAGGGCGUCGCCGUCUUCCUCGUUCAUCAUCACCGUCGUGAGCCUCUCCCUUCCGGAAUAUUAUGGGGUGUGAGUGGUGCACUUGUGAAGGCUAAGUUCAAGAAUGGUGGAAGUGGUGCCGAGUUAUGGUUCGCUUGCAUGGUUUGACCUGUAGGCAUGUGGAUUCGAUGGUUCUUAGCUCGGCUCAACCGUCGUGGAUUAGGAAGGGCAGGGUUGUUUAAAUGGAUGCCAUUUGGAACUCUUAUUGCCAAUGUAUCAGCUGCUUGUGUAAUGGCUGCACUUUCCACCGUAAAGGAAGCAGUCAAUACCAAAGAUUGUGACACUAUUGUAAUCGGAACACAGUUAGGUCUCUUGGGGUGUUUGAGUACUGCCUCAACUUUUGCAGCUGAGUUCAAUGCAAUGAAAGAAAGCAAUCAUCCUUGGAGAGCCUAUGUGUAUGCCAUUAUCACAAUGUGUGCCUCAUUUGUCCUUGUAAUCUUGAUCUACUAUGUACCUGUUUGGGCAACGGGAUAUGACACUAGCACAUAACAAUUGGGGCAUAGCAGAAGGCAAUAUCUACUUUUGACCUUUGGACAGUGUGUUUAUUGGUGGAAAAGUCCAAGUUUGACCACAAGAUCCUUCUUAAUUUUAGAAGCAAUGAAAUUUUUCUAUAAGGAAGGACUCGAGUAUGGAGAAGUUGAGUGAUGCAAUUUACCACUUUUCUUUUAGGCUCAAUAAUUUCUAUAGAACUGUAUGCUGAUAGGACUUUGAUUAAUGUUUGAUCAGCUCUCAAAUUUUUAAUUAAUUUAGAUGAGCCAUAUCAUAAGGAGAAAAAAGAUGACAAUGGUACAUAUAUCAUUUCUGCAAAGGAAACUAUGGUCUAUGGCUAAAUGAGUUUCCAAGGUCUAAUACAGUUGCUGCCAAAGAUGAUAAGUUUAUCAUUAGAAAGAAAAUAUGCUAUUAGAAAAGAGGAAAAGGGUGACAAGAAAUUGAAGCAUAUAUUGACAAACUUGCCAAUUAGUGAUGCUCUUAGAGCUAGAUUUACAAAACCUUGGCCUUGCUU